CACGGCUGUGCUGCCAUUGGCUGCUGUUUGUUUUCAUCCAAACGGGCGGUGCAUCACGAUUAACGGUGCGCCUGCAACAUGGAAACAGACGUGGAGUUUCUGCGUGAUCAAGUCUGCAGGCUAAAUUCGGCUCUCAGCCAGUAUCAGCGUGGGGAUCAUGCGCACGUCAAACCAUCCCAGGUUGACGGGGGAAAUGAGACUGAGUUUGCUGCUCCCUGGCUCUCAGAUAAGAGUAUCAUGGCUCCACUGAUAGCUCAGUAUGACCGGCACAUUGAUGACAUGUCGGAGCAGCUGCGUAAGUACCAGGUGUCCAUGACAGAUGUCAAAGCCAAGAUGGAGAGCGUUAUCCAAGAGAAUGAAAGGCUACAUGCAGAACUGAGGGAAUCCGUGGAGAAGCAGCUUCAGUCACCCUCCAAGACCUCCGGAGUGAAGUUUGGCACAGUAGAGGAUGAAGCGGUCAUUAAAAACCUCCAAGAACAAGUCAAACUGUCUGAGCAGGAGCGAAUACAGGCCAUGGAGUUGUGGCAGACAGCAGCACUGGAGCUUGAUCACCUCCAGGAGUUCUAUCAGAAGACCCUCGCUGAUGGACAGAGUGCUGGCGCCAAGGAACAGCAGCUCAAGGAUCAGAUCGUGCAGAGCCACCAGCACUCACACAAACUCCAAGUGGCCAAUCAGGAACUACAGAUGACCAACGAGCAGCUUGUAAAGACUGUGACGGAGCAGAGUACAGAGAUGGAGGGGCUGCACGGCCAGCUCAGAUUGAGCAAAGCCGAUCUGAGAACAGCCACAGGCAAAGUGGAAGAGUUGGCCAAACAGCUGCAACUUGUUCAGCACCAGAUAAAGAGACAGGAGGAAGAUGUGGCUGAGGCUCGGAGCCGAGAGGAAGCAGCAGAGAGACGAAUCCAACAGCUUCAGUCAACCCUCAGCCAGCAAGAAGCAAAGCUCAGAACAACGUCUCAGGAGGCAGUAGACGUUCGAGGAGAGCAAAUUGUGUUGGAGAAAACAGCAGGGGCCCUGAAGGCCCGAUGCGCUACCUUGGAACAGGAGAAAUACGAGGCUUUUGAUAAAGUCAGAGAGAGCGUUCAGGUGGCUGAGGAGGCGGUACUGCAGAAGAAUGAGGCACUGUUGAGAGAGAAGCAAAUGAUCGAGGAGCUUGAGCACACGAAGAAAGUAAUCCAACACCUAAUCCAGGAUGCUGCUGUGCGCACCAGAAAAGAGGUGGAUAGUGUACGCAAGCAGUGCAACACUGAACUCCGUCGAAUGGCUGAGGAGCUGUCGUUGUUGCAGCUGGAGUGUGCAGAAAAGGAGUCUCUGAUUGAGAGGUCUAAGCGAGAGAGAAAAUCUCUAGAGGAGGAACUAUCCAAGGCGCUGAAGGAGGGCCAGGCAGAACCAGAGCUUGGGAAAAUGGAUGCCCUUCACCAGAGGUGUCUCAACGCAGAGAGGAUGAAGGAGGAAAUGAGCAUCACUUUACAAAGUACCCAAAGCAAACUAAAGAAGAUGGAAAUUGAUUACAAUGAGGAGUUGUCCCGCAGCCAGGAGGGAGUGCAGCGGCUGCAGGGUUGUUUGGCUGCAGCCCGGGAGGACUGUGUCAGAAUCAGCGACGAGCGACUCCAGUUGCAACAGGAGAACUUGCAGAUCCGCAGGGAGGUGGAUGAGCUACGCAAGGCUUCCGUGCUCGUUCACAAGAAGGCCAAACAACAGGUAUCGCAAAUGGAGCAAGAGUGCAGCCUAAAGGAGAAGACACUGAAAGCACAGUUGAGCGACCUGGAGGAGAGCAGUCGCAACUCCAACGCUGACCUGAUGCGCCUUCUCACAGCGCAGCAGAAAAGUAUUCGGCGCUGGAAAGACGAGGCAAAGAACAUGGCCCAGGCCUUUGAAAAUAAAAUCAAAGAUCUGAAGGCAGAACUGAGUCAGCACAAACAACGUUCCCACGAGUUAGAGCUGCAGCUGGGAAAUAAGCUGGACGCAGUUGCUGAGUAUGAGAGACUGUUAGCAGAGUACCAAGAGAAGGCCCAUCGCCUCCAAAGACAACUUAGCCAUGUUGAGCAACGUGCAUCUGUGGCUUCACGACAGGUACGAUAUGCUGACCUCAUGUAGACUGACCCUCGAGAUGUCUUCAAUACUCAGCUGCUAAUGAAUGAACUCGAGCCUAAAAUGACAGUCAUGGCAUCGAAGCAAAGAAAAGCAGCCGCUAGUGACCCAAAAACUGAUUAAUGUAUGAUUUAUCUUUUGCAUCAAAUGUGACUUUUUUUUUGAUUAGUCGGGCUGCUCUCAUCUAAUUUAAUGGCAACAGGUUGCAUUCUUGCGCAUUUUUUUGUGUCAAGUUGUGUUGAUUACUUUCUAAUGCGCAAGUUCCAAUGUUAGAUGAAAGUAGUAGAAUAAUUUAAAUGUACUUUCCACACUAGGUAUUUUAAUUAUUUAUAUAUAUAUAUAUAUUUCUUACACUGGCAAAUUCGAAUACAGUCUUUUUAUACAAUGCCAAUGUUGUAAUAAUAACAUUAAAAAGGAAAAUAAAAGUUAUUUUUGAUACGUGUCCCUG
Molecule: RNA transcript, 2539 nt
Organism: Dunckerocampus dactyliophorus (ringed pipefish)
Lineage: Eukaryota; Metazoa; Chordata; Actinopteri; Syngnathiformes; Syngnathidae
Gene name: sodium channel and clathrin linker 1-like
Exons: 22
Source: RefSeq, a predicted model, not a curated record